This 301-nucleotide long non-coding RNA is filed under the name Ananas comosus (pineapple). RNAcentral's name for it is "long non-coding RNA (ACOM_LNC021745)". Lineage: Eukaryota; Viridiplantae; Streptophyta; Magnoliopsida; Poales; Bromeliaceae. The record is from RNAcentral.
CAGGUCGUUGAAUAGCUAAAAAAAAAAUGUAUUAUAGGGGUUUUUUUACAAAUGGCUCUGAAAAAAUUAUUUUAAAAAUAAUCCCGAUAAAUUUAUAAUUAUAAAAAAUGACCGUCCUCCUACUACACAAGCGCCACGCAGGCGUCAAGCAAGUGCCACGUGGGCGGGCUGGGCGUCUGCUUGGCAAGUUAAACAUGGUGAAUUAUUUACCGUGUUCAAAAGAAAAAUGCAUAACGUAUUUUUUUAUUGUUUGAUGUUAACAUAUAUAUAUAUAUAUAUAUAUAUAUAUAUAUAUAUAUAU